UACGUAGGGUGCAAGCGUUAAUCGGAAUUACUGGGCGUAAAGCGUGCGCAGGCGGCUUUGCAAGACAGAUGUGAAAUCCCCGGGCUUAACCUGGGAACUGCAUUUGUGACUGCAUGGCUAGAGUGCGGGAGAGGGGGAUGGAAUUCCGCGUGUAGCAGUGAAAUGCGUAGAUAUGCGGAGGAACACCGAUGGCGAAGGCAAUCCCCUGGGCCUGCACUGACGCUCAUGCACGAAAGCGUGGGGAGCAAACAGG
This 253-nucleotide ribosomal RNA is filed under the name uncultured bacterium. RNAcentral describes it as "partial 16S ribosomal RNA". It matches the Rfam family "Bacterial small subunit ribosomal RNA", at positions 524 to 776 of the family's 1533-position model. The record is from RNAcentral.